GUGGGGAAUUUUGGACAAUGGGCGCAAGCCUGAUCCAGCAAUGCCGCGUGCAGGAAGAAGGCCUUCGGGUUGUAAACUGCUUUUGUACGGAACGAAACGGUCCGGGUUAAUACCCUGGGCUAAUGACGGUACCGUAAGAAUAAGCACCGGCUAACUACGUGCCAGCAGCCGCGGUAAUACGUAGGGUGCAAGCGUUAAUCGGAAUUACUGGGCGUAAAGCGUGCGCAGGCGGUUCUGUAAGACAGGCGUGAAAUCGCCGGGCUCAACCUGGGAAUUGCGCUUGUGACUGCAAGGCUGGAGUGCGGCAGAGGGGGAUGGAAUUCCGCGUGUAGCAGUGAAAUGCGUAGAUAUGCGGAGGAACACCGAUAGCGAAGGCAAUCCCCUGGGCCUGCACUGACGCUCAUGCACGAAAGCGUGGGGAGCAAACAGGAUUAGAUACCCUUGUAGUCC
RNAcentral lists this ribosomal RNA (450 nucleotides) under uncultured bacterium. RNAcentral's name for it is "partial 16S ribosomal RNA". It matches the Rfam family "Bacterial small subunit ribosomal RNA", at positions 354 to 796 of the family's 1533-position model. The record is from RNAcentral.